RNAcentral lists this ribosomal RNA (253 nucleotides) under uncultured bacterium. Its description in RNAcentral is "partial 16S ribosomal RNA". It matches the Rfam family "Bacterial small subunit ribosomal RNA", at positions 524 to 776 of the family's 1533-position model. The record is from RNAcentral.
UACGUAGGGUGCGAGCGUUAAUCGGAAUUACUGGGCGUAAAGCGUGCGCAGGCGGUUUUGUAAGCCAGAUGUGAAAUCCCCGGGCUUAACCUGGGAAUGGCAUUUGGGACUGCAAGGCUGGAGUGCGGCAGAGGAGACUGGAAUUCCUGGUGUAGCGGUGAAAUGCGCAGAUAUCAGGAGGAACACCGAUGGCGAAGGCAGGUCUCUGGGCCACUACUGACGCUGAGAAGCGAAAGCAUGGGGAGCGAACAGG